CGAACAUCAAAAUAUCUAGAAACAAUCAAGUACGAAAAUCGAGGGAGGUAACUUCGACUGUGAAAAAUUUUUCUGUACUUUCUUCAUUCAGAACUCAAACUUGAAAGUAGGGGGACUGGUGUUGGGUACAAAAUAUCCCCAGUCGAAGUUCGCAAAAGGCCGACCCUUCUAGGGUUCUUCCAGCUUUCGACCUUGUGUGGCAUCUUUCUGAACUCCCUCGAUCGGCCGAGCUUCCAUAUUACCAUCCAGACUUCUCUGAUAAUAAGCUUCUCCAUUCAUCAAUUGGACUGCUCCAAACGCUCUCUGAACUCCGCUAUCAACUGAUUUUCUACGGUGAUCGACUAUUCUCCGAAUUCCUUCUAGACUUCUUCCGGCCAUGGACGACUCUACUCCGAACUUCUUUCGAACUUCAUCAGUAUCCGAGCUUCUCUGACAAUGAGAUUUCUAUAGUAACCAAACUCCAUCCAAGUUUCUACGGUGGUCGACCACCUUUUAGAUUCCAUCCGAGCUCCUACGAGAAUCAGAUUUCAAUCGAACUCCUAUAGUG
This 547-nucleotide long non-coding RNA is filed under the name Elaeis guineensis (African oil palm). RNAcentral describes it as "long non-coding RNA (EGUI_LNC068027)". The record is from RNAcentral. Lineage: Eukaryota; Viridiplantae; Streptophyta; Magnoliopsida; Arecales; Arecaceae.